RNAcentral lists this ribosomal RNA (440 nucleotides) under uncultured bacterium. Its description in RNAcentral is "partial 16S ribosomal RNA". It matches the Rfam family "Bacterial small subunit ribosomal RNA", at positions 338 to 795 of the family's 1533-position model. The record is from RNAcentral.
CCUACGGGUGGCUGCAGUGGGGAAUAUUGCACAAUGGGGGAAACCCUGAUGCAGCAACGCCGCGUGAGUGAUGACGUCCUUCGGGUUGUAAAGCUCUGUCUUCAGGGACGAAAAUGACGGUACCUGAGGAGGAAGCCCCGGCUAACUACGUGCCAGCAGCCGCGGUAAUACGUAGGGGGCGAGCGUUGUCCGGAUUUACUGGGCGUAAAGGGAGCGUAGGCGGACUUUUAAGUAAGGUGUGAAAUGCCCGGGCUCAACCUGAGUGCUGCUUUUGAAACUGGGAGUCUAGAGUGCAGGAGAGGUGAGUGGAAUUCCUAGUGUAGCGGUGAAAUGCGGAGAGAUUAGGAGGAACACCAGUGGCGAAGGCGAUUCACUGGACUGUAACUGACGUUGAGGCUCGAAAGCGUGGGGAGCAAACAGGAUUAGAUACCCUGGUAGUC